UUUAUGGAGAGUUUGAUCCUGGCUCAGGAUGAACGCUGGCGGCGUGCCUAAUACAUGCAAGUCGAGCGAACGGACGAGAAGCUUGCUUCUCUGAUGUUAGCGGCGGACGGGUGAGUAACACGUGGAUAACCUACCUAUAAGACUGGGAUAACUUCGGGAAACCGGAGCUAAUACCGGAUAAUAUUUUGAACCGCAUGGUUCAAAAGUGAAAGACGGUCUUGCUGUCACUUAUAGAUGGAUCCGCGCUGCAUUAGCUAGUUGGUAAGGUAACGGCUUACCAAGGCAACGAUGCAUAGCCGACCUGAGAGGGUGAUCGGCCACACUGGAACUGAGACACGGUCCAGACUCCUACGGGAGGCAGCAGUAGGGAAUCUUCCGCAAUGGGCGAAAGCCUGACGGAGCAACGCCGCGUGAGUGAUGAAGGUCUUCGGAUCGUAAAACUCUGUUAUUAGGGAAGAACAUAUGUGUAAGUAACUGUGCACAUCUUGACGGUACCUAAUCAGAAAGCCACGGCUAACUACGUGCCAGCAGCCGCGGUAAUACGUAGGUGGCAAGCGUUAUCCGGAAUUAUUGGGCGUAAAGCGCGCGUAGGCGGUUUUUUAAGUCUGAUGUGAAAGCCCACGGCUCAACCGUGGAGGGUCAUUGGAAACUGGAAAACUUGAGUGCAGAAGAGGAAAGUGGAAUUCCAUGUGUAGCGGUGAAAUGCGCAGAGAUAUGGAGGAACACCAGUGGCGAAGGCGACUUUCUGGUCUGUAACUGACGCUGAUGUGCGAAAGCGUGGGGAUCAAACAGGAUUAGAUACCCUGGUAGUCCACGCCGUAAACGAUGAGUGCUAAGUGUUAGGGGGUUUCCGCCCCUUAGUGCUGCAGCUAACGCAUUAAGCACUCCGCCUGGGGAGUACGACCGCAAGGUUGAAACUCAAAGGAAUUGACGGGGACCCGCACAAGCGGUGGAGCAUGUGGUUUAAUUCGAAGCAACGCGAAGAACCUUACCAAAUCUUGACAUCCUUUGACAACUCUAGAGAUAGAGCCUUCCCCUUCGGGGGACAAAGUGACAGGUGGUGCAUGGUUGUCGUCAGCUCGUGUCGUGAGAUGUUGGGUUAAGUCCCGCAACGAGCGCAACCCUUAAGCUUAGUU
Molecule: ribosomal RNA, 1136 nt
Filed under: Staphylococcus aureus
Lineage: Bacteria; Bacillati; Bacillota; Bacilli; Caryophanales; Staphylococcaceae
Description: bacterial SSU rRNA
Rfam family: Bacterial small subunit ribosomal RNA
Source: RNAcentral